GUGUGAUGGAUUAACACGACAGAUCGGAUAUCUGUAAGUGCGGGUUCGAGUCCCGC
Molecule: transfer RNA, 56 nt
Filed under: Dictyocaulus viviparus (bovine lungworm)
Lineage: Eukaryota; Metazoa; Nematoda; Chromadorea; Rhabditida; Metastrongylidae
Source: Rfam by way of RNAcentral